Rhincodon typus (whale shark) is the source of this 3583-nucleotide long non-coding RNA. RefSeq lists it as uncharacterized. NCBI's taxonomy places the organism in Eukaryota, Metazoa, Chordata, Chondrichthyes, Orectolobiformes, Rhincodontidae. The record is from RefSeq and is a predicted model, not a curated record. The transcript has 4 exons.
GGGGUCCCAUGGGACAGGUUCUUCCAAACAUUAAAACUGAGUUUCAGGUUGGCGAUAUUGGCUGAGAUCCCCGCCUCUCCUCCCUCUAUGUAAUGACCGUCAAACUCGGGGAUCCGGGCCACCUCCUUCUUCAGGUUGAAGUCCAUGUAGAAAACCUCAUCUCCGUCCACCAACAGAUCAAAGUGUUUAUUGGGACUGCGCUCCUGAACAAAAUAGACAAGGGUGUUUUCGUGUAGAUCUGUGUGUGUGUGAGAGAGAGAGGGAGAGGAUUAGACAGGCCCCACACUGAGACAGUGACCCAGGGACAAAACAUCAUUUGAUAAAAACAGCAAUAAGCAGAUAUCAAACCCAGUUAAGACACCAGGGAGGGAAGUUCUGGAAACAUCAAGACUGAUCUGGGAUGUGUUUUAACUCCACCUGUAUCAGGAUCUCUGUGAAUGUGCUCAUUCUCACAGCUACUCUGGCUCACGGGGUGAACAUUAUCCCCUCCCACCUCAGACAGGUACAACACUCAAAUACUGAAACAAAAACAGAAAUAGCUGGAGAAACCCAGCAGGAAUGGCAGCUUCUGUGAAGAUAGAGAGAAACAGAGUUAACGUUUCGGCUCCAGUGACCCACCUCCUGAAGAUCUGAGUGCUGCAGGGGUGUGCAUUUGAAGGGACUAACACGGCCAAGUCCAUCAGAAGGGCUUGGGCCUUUCUGUGCCCUAAUGCAGUUUAGAGCAAACAUCAGUAGUUGUUCGCCUGUGGAAUGAACCUUCAGAGGAAGUGGUGGAUAUGUAACUGGAUUUCACCCACUAUGGAGCUCUUAGUCUGCUGUCAGUGCCUGUGUGUGUCUCUCUCAAGUUCAGUUUCUAUCUGACUGUAUGAACUCUAAGAGUGACAGAAUGACUCAAACUUUGGCACCAUCUCAAUGUACUGUGUUUUGCUACAGCUUUGACUGGGGAAUGCUGAUUCUUCCUCCACAUGUGAAAUGUGAUAGGCACUUCCGGUAAGCAUUGACGGAUACCGUGACCCACAAAGUCUUCAAGUGCAUGAGCAAACCUUUGCUGUAAAGUGAGCUGGGAAGGCAUGGGAGUUGUAUAUGGGGAAGGGAGAAGAGGCAGGGGUGAACCUCAUGAGAACUCAAGGGGCACCUGGCUUGCAAAUCACAGAUAUUGAACCACUGGACAAGGAUGCCGCCCCCUUGCACAGGCAGGGAAUCAAGGCAGCGUCACGGGAGUGUCAUGCAGUACCAGAAGGUCCUGAAGUAGCAGGAAGACUAACCCCAAGGUCCAGGGUCCAGGAGUAUUCUGAGCACCUGACCCACCAAAACAGGCUGCUUCCCCUGGAGACGUCUGAGGGUAGUAACCAAUGUCUGAGCCUUCUUAGUGAUGAAUUAGCACUAAGAAACAUCUAGCGAUAGGCUUUUCCAGUAAGCAUUGACGGAUACCGUGACCCACAAAGUCUUCAACUCAGGUUUGUUCCAGGGUUCUGUUGCUGAGCUCUGUGGGAUGUCUCAGUCAUCAUCACAUCCAUGCCAUCACGAUGUCCUCUUCACAAGUGUCUCUGACUUUAUCACCCUUUCAAAAAAUACAACCUCACAACUGCACAGGGCAAUGGAUUUUGCAUCAAUAGCUGACUUCCCAUGGGAGCCAGGGCAUCAUAGACUGAACUCAGGAAGGACAGAGCCAACAUGUUCAUUAACAGGAAGGUCUACCAUCAGUGCCCAGCUGGAGUGUGACCAUUGAGAGUUUUCAUGCAGCUGCCUUACACAGAGUCCAGGCUGAUGCUGCACUUUCACCUGACUCCUCUGGUGCAUGGUUGCUCUGUGUGACAAGGACUACCCACUAAGCAGUUGCUCCUAACAUUCCUGUGAGGAUCCCAAGCCCCAGGUCACUACAGCAAGAGUAACUAAGACACUAGAACACUCGUUGAACAGACUACAUGCAAGGGACCUACUCAAAAGGAGAUUUUGAUGCCUUGAUUGCUCUGGUAAAUCGCCGCAAUAUUCAUUUUACCGGGUAUCUGGAUUGGUUGUCAUGUGCUGCAUUGCUACUCAACAUAGCACAGCAGAGGAGUACUCUGCUGGACGAGGCAGUCAACGAAGGAGACCUUGUGUGCAUGCAGGCUGAAGAAGAGCAGGAUGAGGGAGAAGGGCAGGACAGAGGACUCCGAUGUUCAGGGUGGACUGAAGCAACGUGACGCUGCUAGGCCUGGGGAUAUGAAGAGGGAUCCAGGCUGGCCUUUUGAGUCCACUGCGUAGCACUUCUGUGACUUGCUGCAGAAAACAGCCUGUUUGCAGGUGAGUGCAGAGACAGGCUGGGCCAGCAGUCCCUCAGUGCUCAGUUUUCUUAGGCAGCAAAGCAAGAAGUCUUGGGAAUGUGGGGUGAUUGUGAUAUUAUUGAGGUUCACACUCGGCCUGAUUUCAGAGGGACAGCAAAGAGUUAGCCGGCAAUGAGAUCAACAGUGACAAUAACUACUUACAAUACAGAAUUCCCACCAUAAUGUUUCCUUCAGUGGAGAUCUUGGAUUUCUUGUAACGUGAAGAUGAUACUUAGGCAGACCUUUAUCAGCCCUGUUUCACCCACCUUAGAUUUCAAAUCUUGCCGCCGCACCCCACCCCACCCCACUUGGCUGCUGUUGUUUCUGGCCCCCCUGUGCUGGAUUAGGUAGCAGCAAGGCCAACUCCAUUCCUGCCACAAGUCUGUCUGUUGAAAAUCCACUGUCAAGAUGGAGACAGGAUCAUGAUGCUGGGAAAUGUGCCAAUUCUCAAUUCCUGCCUUGAAGAUGAAAAUCCAGUUCCAGGAUUUUUGAGAAAACUGUUCAUGGAGACAACCAAACUGUGCUGCAUCCCUCUGGCAACUCCCUGUCCAAUCAGAGUCCACCUGCCUGGCCUGAGAAUAAAGAUUGACAGUUCACUGUUCUUGCUGUAUUGUUAACGGCAGUGAUAUUCCAACUGAUCAGUACUGUGUUCUCAUUCUGUAUAAGAUUGGGUCUUCUUUUUCUCAAAGUUUGUGCUUUGUGUCCUACUUCCAGCGAAUGCUAAACUGAAAGCUUCAACUUCUCACCUUCUUUGAGGUUUAAGAUUUUAGCUGCACGUAUUAAAUAUCAUCCACCUUACACCUUCCAUUGCCCCACCUUGACAUUCGUAUGGAGCCUCCUGAAGCUCAGGGGCUAUGAAUUGGUGUCUUGUCAGUCAUAAAGAAGGGUGUAGGGAUAAGAUACCAGAGGAGUACUAAGUACCAAUCAGUGCAGGAACAAAGACAGAAUAAGAAUAUAACAAAAUGCCAUUUGACCACUCAAGUCUGCUCAGCCAUUCAAUAAAAUCAUGGCAGAUUUGAAUGUAAUCUUAACUUCACUCUCCUGUCUGCCUAUAAUAACCCUUGACGCCCUGUAGAUCAAAAAAUCUUUCAAAAUCUUCUUUAAAUGUAUUCAAUGACCCAGGCUGCGCUACCUUCUGAGGUGAAGACAUCCAAAGACUACUGACAGUCUGAGAGGAAAAAGAGGUGAAGGAUUCCUAAAUGUGUACAGGAGAACUUUCCAAAUGCUGUGUUUUUCUACUGCAAUGUGGGUUAUUUAAUAAACAACUGGAAUGAUGAACA